UGUUUUUAUCUCUCCAUCUUCUUCUCUCCUGAAAAACCAUAAAUCAUACAGCGAAAAUAUCUCUCUCUAUCCCUCCAAAUUAAAACAACUCCCUCAAUCCCUUCAUCUCUCCACCGCACAUCUCCCUUUAUCCACCGUCGCACUUCUCCGUUUACAUGCACAAAAGUCAUGGGUUUGCAGUACUGGUCAAAUCUGAGAUGCAGCACGACGAGAGACAACUAAAGAUUCUGGGUUUGCAGUUUGCACAGACACAGAGCAGAGAGACGAGGAACCGCCUACAUGCCACCUAGCAUUGCCUACCACCGCCUAGUGCCUCCUAGCGCCACCUAGUCGACCGCCUAAACCUUCUCCGUUUUAUUGAACGUUUUGCCCAAAAUCACCACGGAAGCCCACUGCCCAACGCCUAGGUGACCUCCUAGGCCGAUUUUUAGAACACUACUUACAAUUCUUCCAAUUUUUCUUUCUACCAUUUCUUCCCAUUUCCAAAUUUUUCAAGAUGGCAAAAGAGCAUAUUAGAGGUCGUAAUUCGACCUUUGAGAAAGAUGUUGCUUUAUGCUUGGCAUGGGUUUCUAUUAGCGAAUAUGGUGCCAUCGGCAUGAAUUAAAAUAAAAAGGUUUUGUGGGGCUAAAAUUUUAGACCAGAAAGGUUAGAGCAGAAAAGCUGUUUCUGGGUUAAAACCUAAAUUUUCUCGACUAAAAAUUUUAGGUUUUAGGCCAAGGGUUGGAGAUGGUCUAAGGUUUCUCUAUAUGCGCUUGGAAAUUAGGGGUUUGGAUCCCAUUCAAAUCCAAAUUGUGGGAUCCUAGGAAUCCUCACAUUUUAGCCAUUCAUCAUGCAUCCGUGCGGUCAGAAAUCAUUUGACUUUUUUAUUUAAAAUUAAACACAAAUAGUACCUGAUGAAAAUUAGCCACACGAUAUACGAUGAAUGGAUAGGACGUGGGAAUCCCUAGGAUCCCCACAAUAGUAAAGUGGAUCCGGAGAGCACAAGUGUAAGGCUUCUCAGUAUGUGCUUCGGAAUGGGUUCAAGGCUUGCCUCCAUCAUUUAUACGUUGCUAUUAUUAGAUGCAUAAACUUCCACAUUUGGCUUCUUUUUUUCCUUUUGUGGGGUAGCCUUUCUCAGGGUCAUAUAUUCUUUUUUUUUUCUUUCUAAAUAUUACAUUUGGUACUUUUUGACAUUGAAGAUGUGUGUAUGUUUACAUUAAUUAAUGAAUUUAUCUUAUUUGCAGUCGGCUUUUGAAGGUGUGCAAGUGGUGUCACCACACAUGCCUCCAAAAUCGGAAGGGUCCCUGAUUUUUCAAUUUUACAGGAAUAUACAUACAUAUAGCAAUAUGUGUAAAAAAUAAUAAAAUCAAUUGUUAACACAAGUGUAAGGCUUCUCUAUAUGCGCUUGGGAAU
Molecule: long non-coding RNA, 1392 nt
Filed under: Malus domestica (apple)
Lineage: Eukaryota; Viridiplantae; Streptophyta; Magnoliopsida; Rosales; Rosaceae
Description: long non-coding RNA (MDOM_LNC008882)
Source: RNAcentral